GCUACUGGGAGUGUAUCUGGAAGCGUCUCUGGGGUUGAUGGAGGACUUGGAGGUGGCCUGUCUGCUUCUGGGAGAGUAGCUAGUUUCCUGUUUUAGGGCUUCUGGGAGCUUAUAUGCAAGAGUUCCACGGGACCUGUGUUGGUGAAUUAAUAAGAGACACGCUGAUGAAACCAGAUUUGAUGAACCGUCGACGAUGCCAUUACGCUUCCCGUGCUGCUGCCUCUCACCUCUCCUGACCAAUCAAAGGCCACAUGAGAAUCAUAAAUCAUACUGAUUGGGAC
Long non-coding RNA from Mauremys mutica (yellowpond turtle), 281 nucleotides. RefSeq lists it as uncharacterized. The record is from RefSeq and is a predicted model, not a curated record. NCBI's taxonomy places the organism in Eukaryota, Metazoa, Chordata, Testudines, Geoemydidae. The transcript has 5 exons.